AAAUCUCUAUUAGACCUAAAAUUCUACUUUCUGAGAUCUUGAUCCACUUAAACCUCAAUAUCCCUUAAUUCAACUAUUAGAUCGAGCUCAAAUUCACAACACAUAUUAAACACAACUAUAACCAUAAAUCCACAAAAUUUCACCUAUAUAUCUAUAAUAAAACUCUUGAAAUCACCCAAAAUAUAAAUCCUAUUUUAUUUCAUAAAACCCAAGUCAUCCAAAACAAACCUUAACUUUGCAUAGCUCUUACAAAGUCAUAUCAACUCCAAAUCAUCUAAAUUCAAUGCUCAUAGAAAGCUUAUUUUGUCUGCUCUCAAACCUCAUUGUCAAAUCU
This 334-nucleotide long non-coding RNA is filed under the name Physcomitrium patens. RNAcentral's name for it is "long non-coding RNA (PPAT_LNC010815)". Lineage: Eukaryota; Viridiplantae; Streptophyta; Bryopsida; Funariales; Funariaceae. The record is from RNAcentral.